UGGGGAAUAUUGGACAAUGGGGGCAACCCUGAUCCAGCCAUGCCGCGUGAGUGAUGAAGGCCUUCGGGUUGUAAAGCUCUUUUGGCGGGGACGAUGAUGACGGUACCCGCAGAAUAAGCCCCGGCUAACUUCGUGCCAGCAGCCGCGGUAAGACGAAGGGGGCAAGCGUUGUUCGGAAUUACUGGGCGUAAAGGGCGCGUAGGCGGUUUGCUUAGUCAGGCGUGAAAGCCCUGGGCUUAACCUGGGAUGUGCGCUUGAUACUGGCAGGCUUGAGUGCGGCAGAGGGGGGUGGAAUUCCACGUGUAGCAGUGAAAUGCGUAGAGAUGUGGAGGAACACCGAUGGCGAAGGCAGCCCCCUGGGCCUGUACUGACGCUCAUGCACGAAAGCGUGGGGAGCAAACA
This 402-nucleotide ribosomal RNA is filed under the name uncultured bacterium. RNAcentral's name for it is "bacterial SSU rRNA". It matches the Rfam family "Bacterial small subunit ribosomal RNA", at positions 355 to 774 of the family's 1533-position model. The record is from RNAcentral.